Molecule: small RNA, 125 nt
Filed under: Marmota monax (woodchuck)
Lineage: Eukaryota; Metazoa; Chordata; Mammalia; Rodentia; Sciuridae
Source: RNAcentral
GCUGGGCAUGAUGACACAUGCCUGUAAUCCCAGCGGCAUGGGAGGCUGAGGCAGGAGAAUUGCAACUUCAAAGCCAGCCUCAGCAAAAGUGAGGUGCUAAGCUACUGAGUGAGACUCUGUCUUUA